This 404-nucleotide ribosomal RNA is filed under the name uncultured bacterium. RNAcentral's name for it is "bacterial SSU rRNA". It matches the Rfam family "Bacterial small subunit ribosomal RNA", at positions 975 to 1375 of the family's 1533-position model. The record is from RNAcentral.
CCAGGUUGGACAUGCUCGUGGUACGGACCUGAAAGGGCGAGGACCUCGAAAGGGGAGCGAGCUCAGGUGCUGCAUGGCUGUCGUCAGCUCGUGCCGUGAGGUGUUGGGUUAAGUCCCGCAACGAGCGUAACCCCUGUCUUCAGUUGCCAUCGGGUCAUGCCGAGCACUCUGAAGAGACUGCCCAGGAUAACGGGGAGGAAGGUGGGGAUGACGUCAAGUCAGCAUGGCCUUUAUGCCUGGGGCUACACACGUGCUACAAUGACCGGUACAGAGGGUUGCAAUCCUGUAAGGGGGAGCCAAUCUCAAAAAACCGGCCUCAGUUCAGAUUGGGGUCUGCAACUCGACCCCAUGAAGGUGGAAUCGCUAGUAAUCGCGGAUCAGCACGCCGCGGUGAAUACGUUCCC